UUACAUUCAUAAUAUUAAACUCAUGUUCAAUAUGCAAUACAUACAAACAAUUGCACUCUUCUAUUCAUCACAAGAUAUCAUUGGCCAAUGUGUUCAUUCAAUAUAUAUAGAAGAUUCAUUAGUUUUCUUCACUCAAGUUAGCUACAACCAUUACGGAAAUGCACAAGUCACAUAUACUAGAGAGGCAUGUUACAAACAUAAUGGCCAAAAUUCAUAAGAGACCAAGUGCUUGUUCACUGGACUGCUACUGCUACAGAAUAUUAUGGAAGACCAACUCUUCAAUUGCCAAACCAAAUCAACUUCUGUAUGAACAAAAUGUGUCAUCCGUGUUCUCAACAAAAGCAAUCACGAGAACAUCUUCAAUCAGCCAGUGGACUUGCUACUUUCUACCAUUUGUCCCUACAAAAGAACUCAUAUGUUUCAGCAAUCUUUGAAAUAAUACAAUGUAUUCAAAUUUAUGAGUUGCCUUCGAGUCCAAAGGUCUAAGAAACAAGCAUUAUUACAUAUACAUGUACCAGCAGUCAUAUAUGUAAUAGUGUACUUGGUGAAAACAAGUCAAUUUAAAGGACAUCGCUUGUGUUGCGGUUCAUGCAUGCUAUGAAACAUUUUGUGGUAUACAAUAGGGAUUCGCAUAUGUUGUUUUUUGCUAUGGUUAAAAUCCUAAAACUAAACAGAUGCUGCAAAAGGCUACAACACCUAUGUUUACCUAAAAAAUGCUUCAGGUGUAAUCCUAAUAUGUGGACUGAACUAAAUAUGCUUCGUAGAAAAAUAAUGGUCAAGUAUUUGUUUUUUGUGGCUGAUCUUUGAAAGAGAGCAAGUUUCAGUUUAGCUACUAGGAAUUGCACACUGACGGACAAUUGUUCCACUGACCGUAUUUGAACAAAUAUGCAAGCAAACAUUCAGUUUAGCUUGCGUACUAAAUCACACAUUUAGCCUGCGUACUAUUUGCAUGACAAUGGCGGUUGCGUUGCACACAUACAAAUGUAGAAACCAAACAUUCUAUGCUCUGCUAUAGCCCAGAUUUAGUAUCACCUUAUCUUGCCCUUAAUUCUUAUCUAUUUCCGAUAGAAACUAGAUACUCUAGUAGCCUCAUGCAUCAUCCAUUUAUAAUGACACUACAAACUGCACUACAUGUGUUUAGUUAUGAUGCAUGAAACCUGACAACAAAAUUGCAAAGAUUGCCCAAAAGAAGAAUAAUAUUGUUUAGCUCAAACUAUGGACCCUUUUCCCCAUUCUGAACCUAUGUCUUCCUACCCAAGCAUCAAGCGAAACAUGGCAAUGUCAACUCAUGGCAAAAAGUAAGAAUAAUACCUAGUGUUUCCAAAUUUCCGAUUCCUUGAGAAAAUAGAACUUGAUGCAUCUCUCCUAUUUAUCAUUGCAUUUUUUCUGUGUGCCCUAGUAGAGUAGAAACUUGUUCAUCUUCUCGAUGAAAUUGAAUUUCCAUUGCAAGUGUUGUUGGUGGUUCAGCUGCUUCUUCAGGUUGUUUCUGCAAAAAAAUAGAGCAAAUGAGGCACCUAAUUUAUUUCUACAAUGAAGUCAGUGCAAUCUAUACUUGUCAUCGAUUAAUAUGCAGUCACAUGCAUGGCUGUACUAAAGAAAAACACAUGAUGUGUAUGUGUGACUAACAAUUAGUGUCUCCGCUUGUGCGGUAGGAACUCCAAUUUUACGUGUAUGUGCUAUGACAAUAUUUCAUCUCUCUGCAUGUCAUAGCCAAGUUCUUCAGCCUGCAACAAUUUUUUCCCUAAUAAUUAGAAAACCAACUAAUCGGAUGCAUAACUUUCAAAAAGAGGUGCUUGAUUUUACCAAUUCAUGCCUGCUAUGAGCAUAACUCUUGAUGCCAGCUACACUUAGCAAUGACAACUCCGAAUAAACUUACUUCUUGGCUCGCUGGGACGAGCCGCCUACUUCCCCAGGGGGCCUCAUGUUUUCUCCCAAUGCUAAAUAUUUUCUUUUUAUUUCAACAAGAGCUCACAACUUCCUUUUGUUUUCUGCAAUACUUCCACCUCUUGUUCCUUCCAUCUUUUCUCCUGCAAGUGGCACAUAUCAGACCAUGAUGCUUAAUAAAAAAUAGUGCAAAAUAUGCAUACUGAGUAAAUUAUGUGAUGAGUUAAAUACAUGGCAACAACUUUUAUCGAGAAGCAGCAGGUUAAAACUGCACUAUCCACCAAGCAACUUCGUGUGAAUUAGUAGUAUAAUUAAGAAACAUAGUUAUGAAAAUAUAGAUAGGAGAAGUGGGCAUUCAUUACGAAUAUACAUACUAAAUAGACAAAAACAUAAAUAGUAGGGCGCCAAGGAAGAACAAACUGAGACUAGAGAAAUACAAUUUUCCAUUACCCCUUUCAUCCCUACAAUUUCGUGACUAUGAUUUCUGAAGUUUACGGAGAUCUCCACUUGAGCAGACUAAAACAGAAGUUAAAAUAAGAUAUGCCACAAAUAGACUUGAGCAGAGAGUAAAUGGAGGCUAUGUUAGCAGAUUCAGAAGGUUUCUUGAUUUAGUAAACAUUAAACUUGUGAUCCGUGAGACAACAAACAAGUAGAAAUAAUGAGCACCUAGAUUAGAAGUCUACUGGUUAGGAGUGAAAGAACAAGAAGAUAUCCAGUACAAGAAAAAGGAAAUUCAGAGACAUGAGAAAUAUGUUUGAGCUCCUUCUAGAACUGCACAGAUAUGGAGGUAGUGGUUCAGAAGUGUGCUCAUCUCCUCCUCCUCAUUCUUCCUCUAUGCCUUGAGCUCAUUCUGGAGCUGGUUUGCAUCAACCUUUUGUAAUCCUGCGGCACAAGAGUUGAAUCCAUUGAUUGGUACAUAGAUAGAUAAAAACACGUGACUGAAAUUCUGAAACUGAAGCAACAUCGAUACAAGUAGCGCAGAAAAAGAAAAAACAUUAAAUUGGUGUAUCAUUAAUUACUUUAUUGUGCAAAUUAAUUGUCACAGUUUGGAGCUUUUACGGAAAUGCAUGUCCUAUUUUGGAGCUAGCACUUAGGAAAUAACAUGUCCAAAUUAUCAAAAGUGAAAUAUGUUUGAUAUGAACUCUGAAGCAAUAACAACAAUCUUCGACAAGUCAAGGAAUAAACUAGCAGAUGGUUUACAAUAUAAUCCAUUGCCAAGCUAUAUAACACCCCCCGUAAAUUUGGGCUGCAUGUAUAACAAAAGGAAAGGCAAGUAGGUCAACAUACAUCGGAAGCAACUAAUGGCCACCACACCCCAUAAUCUCUCUCUUCAUUUUUUAUUCUCUAAAAUAAAUAAAUAAUGAUUGUGAAAUCUGAGGCACAACCGAAGGAAAAGCAAAUUCGCAUAAUCAUUUAAAACUUCCCAUACACUACAUACAUAGUCCAACUUUUAGUGUUAAUAUUGACCUUAUAACAUGUUCUGUACAAAGAUGCAAACUGAAAUACUAAUUUCACAAUUUUCCACCAGCACUUUUGGAAUGUGAGUUACUAAUUAGCGACAAGCACAAUGGCCUUCUAGGAAACUAAAUGUACAUACUACAUCGGGUAAAUUUUCCAAAUACAGGUGGCCAACAUAAUCUAUUCAGUCUGAAACUUAAGGUGCUGCAAAGGAUUGUGCUUCAUUAGUUCAAGAGAAGGACAUUUGGAUUGCUGGACCUCUCCUUUUUUCAUCCCUGAAGAAAUAAUUACUGUUGUGCAGUAAGCAAAUUCAGGCCGUAGGAAGGAGACGGACAGAAGGGGAGAGAAGAAAAAUGCUUACAUUUGUCCAUGGCGUCGGAGUAGCUGCGUCCCCGAAAGGGAAGAAGCAAGCACAUAGAGCACCUGCGUGCGGGUUUGAGGAAACCACAUCAGGAAGGGGAGCGGCCAAAACAAAACU
Molecule: long non-coding RNA, 3820 nt
Filed under: Triticum aestivum (bread wheat)
Lineage: Eukaryota; Viridiplantae; Streptophyta; Magnoliopsida; Poales; Poaceae
Description: long non-coding RNA (TAES_LNC003825)
Source: RNAcentral